RNAcentral lists this ribosomal RNA (498 nucleotides) under uncultured bacterium. RNAcentral's name for it is "partial 16S ribosomal RNA". It matches the Rfam family "Bacterial small subunit ribosomal RNA", at positions 30 to 523 of the family's 1533-position model. The record is from RNAcentral.
AUUGAACGCUGGCGGCAUGCCUUACACAUGCAAGUCGAACGGUAACAGGUCUUCGGAUGCUGACGAGUGGCGAACGGGUGAGUAGUACGUCGGAACGUGCCUAGUAGUGGGGGAUAACUACUCGAAAGGGUGGCUAAUACCGCAUGAGAUCUACGGAUGAAAGCAGGGGAUCGCAAGACCUUGUGCUACUAGAGCGGCCGAUGGCAGAUUAGGUAGUUGGUGGGAUAAAAGCUUACCAAGCCGACGAUCUGUAGCUGGUCUGAGAGGACGAUCAGCCACACUGGGACUGAGACACGGCCCAGACUCCUACGGGAGGCAGCAGUGGGGAAUUUCGGACAAUGGGCGAAAGCCUGAUCCAGCAAUGCCGCGUGCAGGAUGAAGGCCUUCGGGUUGUAAACUGCUUUUGUACGGAACGAAAAGCCCCGGGUUAAUACCCUGGGGUCAUGACGGUACCGUAAGAAUAAGCACCGGCUAACUACGUGCCAGCAGCCGCCGCCG